UGGUCCUGGCCUUACAAUCAAUUUUUACCUAACUUACACAUGCAAGUCUCCACCCCCCUGUGAGAACGCCCUUAAAUCCCUUUAGGGAUCAGGAGCUGGUAUCAGGCUCGAUUUCUCAGCCCACAACACCUAGCCACGCCACACCCACAAGGGUAUACAGCAGUGAUCAACAUUGACCAUAAGCGCAAGCUUGAUUCAGUCAGGGUAAAUAGAGCCGGCAAACCUGGUGCCAGCCGCCGCGGCCACACCACGGGCUCAAAUUGAUUGCGUUCGGCGUAAAGCGUGAUUAAAGUCCCCCCUUAACUGCAGUUAAACUGGACCUAAGACGUAAAACCCUUUGAACCCAGGAAGCACAGAAACGAAAGUUACUGCAAAAUAACCAACUUGACUUCACGACAGUUAAGACACAAACUGGGAUUAGAUACCCCACUAUGCUUAACCGUAAACUUUAACUUACACCCAAAUCGCCUGGGAACUACGAGCAAUGCUUAAAACCCAAAGGACUUGACGGUGCCCCAUUCCACCUAGAGGAGCCUGUCCUGUAAUUGAUAACCCCCGUUUAACCUCACCACUCUUCGCCUGUCAGUCUGUAUACCUCCGUCGUCAGUUUACCACGUGAGCGAUCUCAGUAAGCAAGAAGGCCUUAUUCGCCAAAACGUCAGGUCAAGGUGCAGCUAAUAGAGUGGGAAGAGAUGGGCUACACUCUCUAAUAUAGAAAAUACGAAAAACUACUGAUGAAACUCCAGUUAGAAGGCGGAUUUAGCAGUAAAAUGAGACAAAAGCGCUCAUUUAAACACGGCCCUGGGGUGUGUACACACCGCCCGUCACCCUCUUCGAAACCUAAAGAAUAGUAUAUAACACCCUAUCCCCCAUAAAGAAGAGGCAAGUCGUAACAUGGUAAGCUUACCGGAAGGUGUGCUUGGAAA
This 926-nucleotide non-coding RNA is filed under the name Scinax perereca. RNAcentral describes it as "partial 12S small subunit ribosomal RNA". It matches the Rfam family "Bacterial small subunit ribosomal RNA". The record is from RNAcentral. Lineage: Eukaryota; Metazoa; Chordata; Amphibia; Anura; Hylidae.